RNAcentral lists this ribosomal RNA (234 nucleotides) under uncultured bacterium. RNAcentral's name for it is "partial 16S ribosomal RNA". It matches the Rfam family "Bacterial small subunit ribosomal RNA", at positions 102 to 334 of the family's 1533-position model. The record is from RNAcentral.
CACGGGUGAGUAACACGUAUCCAACCUGCCGUCUACUCUUGGACAGCCUUCUGAAGGAAGAUUAAUACAAGAUGGCAUCAUGAGUUCACAUGUCCGCAUGAUUAAAGGUAUUUUCCGGUAGACGAUGGGGAUGCGUUCCAUUAGAUAGUAGGCGGGGUAACGGCCCACCUAGUCAACGAUGGAUAGGGGUUCUGAGAGGAAGGUCCCCCACAUUGGAACUGAGACACGGUCCAA